AUUUAAGUAGUUUAUUUAGAAUAAUAAUUUGUGGAGUUAUAGGUGUAAUUUUAUCUUAAAUC
RNAcentral lists this transfer RNA (62 nucleotides) under Sigara septemlineata. RNAcentral describes it as "tRNA-His". The record is from RNAcentral. Lineage: Eukaryota; Metazoa; Arthropoda; Insecta; Hemiptera; Corixidae.